AGAGAGAGACAUGCGUGCAUAUCAAUAAGCGGAGGAAAAGAAACUAACAAGGAUUCCCUUAGUAACGGCGAGUGAAGCGGGAAGAGCUCAAAUUUGAAAUCUUCAAGGUUCUACCUUGACGAAUUGUAGUUUAUAGAAGUGUUUUCUGUUAGUGGAGUGGCAAAAGUUCUUUGGAAUAGGACAUCAUAGAGGGUGAGAAUCCCGUAUUUGGUCAUUCCUCCUAGCGUUGUGAUACACUUUCAACGAGUCGGAUUGUUUGGGAAUGCAGUCCAAAAUGGGUGGUAAAUUUCAUCUAAAGCUAAAUAUUGGCGAGAGACCGAUAGCGAACAAGUACCGUGAGGGAAAGAUGAAAAGAACUUUGAAAAGAGAGUUAAACAGUACGUGAAAUUGUCAAAAGGGAAGCGUUUGACACCAGUGUUGUUUUUCCGAAAAUCAAUUACGAAUGUUUUGUUUUUGAGGAGUUAUGACUUCAUCGGCUUGCUCCUUUCUUUACGGAAACUUUCUUAAUGCACUUUUCGGUUAACAAGUCAACAUCAAUUUCUUUUGUUGUAAAAGGGUAUGAGGAAGGUGGCUUUCUUUUCGGAGAAAGUGUUUAUAGCCUUGUACCUCUGCAAUCGGAGAGAUUGAGGUCUGCAGCGUAGAUCCUUCGGGGUUAGAUACAUUUGUGCUGAGUUAUAGCUUUUCAUAGACAACUUGUUGACUAUGUUUAGUCUUGUAGCUUACUCGCUUAUGCUAUUUUACCUACGCUUAGGAUGUUGAUCUGUAGUGCGUGCGC
RNAcentral lists this ribosomal RNA (775 nucleotides) under uncultured Neocallimastigales. Its description in RNAcentral is "partial large subunit ribosomal RNA". It matches the Rfam family "Eukaryotic large subunit ribosomal RNA", at positions 23 to 647 of the family's 3401-position model. Lineage: Eukaryota; Fungi; Neocallimastigomycota; Neocallimastigomycetes; Neocallimastigales. The record is from RNAcentral.